CCUACGGAAGGCAGCAGUGGGGAAUAUUGCACAAUGGGGGAAACCCUGAUGCAGCGACGCCGCGUGAAGGAUGAAGUAUUUCGGUAUGUAAACUUCUAUCAGCAGGGAAGAAAAUGACGGUACCUUACUAAGAAGCCCCGGCUAACUACGUGCCAGCAGCCGCGGUAAUACGUAGGGGCCAAGCGUUAUCCGGAUUUACUGGGUGUAUGGGGAGCGUAGACGGUAUGGCAAGUCUGAUGUGAAAACCCGGGGCUAAACCCCGGGACUGCAUUGGAACCUGCCGAACUAGAGUGUCGGAGAGGCAAGUGGAAGUCCUAGUGUAGCGGUGAAAUGCGUAGAUAUUAGGAGGAACACCAGGGGCGAAGGCGGCUUGCUGGACGAUGACUGACGUUGAGGCUCGAAAGCGUGGGGAGCAAACAGGAUUAGAUACCCCUGUAGUC
RNAcentral lists this ribosomal RNA (440 nucleotides) under uncultured bacterium. RNAcentral describes it as "partial 16S ribosomal RNA". It matches the Rfam family "Bacterial small subunit ribosomal RNA", at positions 338 to 795 of the family's 1533-position model. The record is from RNAcentral.